Molecule: non-coding RNA, 71 nt
Organism: Phrynosoma platyrhinos (Desert horned lizard)
Lineage: Eukaryota; Metazoa; Chordata; Lepidosauria; Squamata; Phrynosomatidae
Source: the annotation of a GenBank genome assembly
GACAGCAUGGCAUAGUGGUUAAGUGUUGGACUGUGACUCUGGAGACCAGGAUUCGAUUCCCAGGUCAGCCA